CUACAGGGGUAUCUAAUCCUGUUUGCUCCCCACGCUUUCGUGCAUGAGCGUCAGUGCAGGCCCAGGGGAUUGCCUUCGCCAUCGGUGUUCCUCCGCAUAUCUACGCAUUUCACUGCUACACGCGGAAUUCCAUCCCCCUCUGCCGCACUCUAGCCUUGCAGUCACAAUGGCAGUUCCCAGGUUGAGCCCGGGGAUUUCACCACUGUCUUACAAAACCGCCUGCGCACGCUUUACGCCCAGUAAUUCCGAUUAACGCUUGCACCCUACGUAUUACCGCGGCUGCUGGCAC
This 289-nucleotide ribosomal RNA is filed under the name uncultured Comamonas sp. Its description in RNAcentral is "partial 16S ribosomal RNA". Lineage: Bacteria; Pseudomonadati; Pseudomonadota; Betaproteobacteria; Burkholderiales; Comamonadaceae. The record is from RNAcentral.